This 531-nucleotide long non-coding RNA is filed under the name Medicago truncatula (barrel medic). Its description in RNAcentral is "long non-coding RNA (MTRU_LNC008152)". Lineage: Eukaryota; Viridiplantae; Streptophyta; Magnoliopsida; Fabales; Fabaceae. The record is from RNAcentral.
CAUUUGGUAGUAGAAAUGCACAAUUAGAGGUAAAGUUAUUCUCUUUUGUCUCUCUCACUCAUACAAUAAAAAGGAAAACUAUGACCAUGUGUAAUAGAUAAAUUUCAAGUCUAGAAUGUCGGGAUCUAUCCAUUACCGAGAACAGUUAAUGGCAGGUCAAUCCCUGAAGUCAACUUGCAGAGGUAAAAUUUGUGCCUUUUAAAAAAUGUUAGGGUAUGACAAUGUAAAAAUUCCAUAAUGUCCAAAUGCAUAUAGUUUAAAUUUUAAUUGUGGAAUGAGACAUGCUUUCUUUCAAAUAGAAUUUAAAGAUUGCGAGGCCUUAUUGUAUUACAAAUUGAAUAAUAGUUUGAAUUUUGAUUGAGUAAAAAUUAAAGUUUAUUUUCCCUUGCCCAAUCAAAAUUUGGGGUUGAAAUUUGUUGGUCUUGAAUGAAGGACACAUUUUGAUUGAGUAAAAUUUGAGUUUAUUUUCUUUGGUUUGUGUGAAUUCUUCAUGAGCUUAUCAACUUUAAUUCAUAUGCAUUUCUUUAGACG